UACGGAGGGGGGCUAGCGUUUGUUCGGAAUUACUGGGCGUAAAGCGCACGUAGGCGGCUUUGUAAGUUAGAGGUGAAAGCCCGGGGCUCAACUCCGGAAUUGCCUUUAAGACUGCAUCGCUAGAAUUGUGGAGAGGUAAGUGGAAUUCCGAGUGUAGAGGUGAAAUUCGUAGAUAUUCGGAAGAACACCAGUGGCGAAGGCGACUUACUGGACUGGUAUUGACGCUGAGGUGCGAAAGCGUGGGGAGCAAACAGG
Molecule: ribosomal RNA, 255 nt
Filed under: uncultured bacterium
Lineage: Bacteria
Description: partial 16S ribosomal RNA
Rfam family: Bacterial small subunit ribosomal RNA
Source: RNAcentral